GAUGAACGCUGGCGGCGUGCUUAACACAUGCAAGUCGAACGGAAAGGCCCAAGCUUGCUUGGGUACUCGAUUGGCGAACGGGUGAGUAACACGUGGGUGAUCUGCCCUGCACUUCGGGAUAAGCCUGGGAAACUGGGUCUAAUACCGGAUAUGACCACUUCUUGGAUGUUGUGGUGGAAAGUUUUUUCGGUGUGGGAUGAGCUCGCGGCCUAUCAGCUUGUUGGUGGGGUAAUGGCCUACCAAGGCGUCGACGGGUAGCCGGCCUGAGAGGGUGUACGGCCACAUUGGGACUGAGAGACGGCCCAGACUCCGACGGGAGGCAGAAGGGGGGAAGAUUGCACAAUGGGCGCAAGCCUGAUGCAGCGACGCCGCGUGGGGGAUGACGGCCUUCGGGUUGUAAACUCCUUUCGCUAGGGACGAAGCGUUUUGUGACGGUACCUGGAGAAGAAGCACCGGCUAACUACGUG
This 467-nucleotide ribosomal RNA is filed under the name uncultured bacterium. RNAcentral's name for it is "partial 16S ribosomal RNA". It matches the Rfam family "Bacterial small subunit ribosomal RNA", at positions 28 to 507 of the family's 1533-position model. The record is from RNAcentral.